Vigna unguiculata (cowpea) is the source of this 256-nucleotide long non-coding RNA. NCBI's taxonomy places the organism in Eukaryota, Viridiplantae, Streptophyta, Magnoliopsida, Fabales, Fabaceae. The record is from RefSeq and is a predicted model, not a curated record.
UUAUUGUCCUUGUGGAGUGCUGUAUUUUGUAACAAUGGCUGAGAUAAAUGCAUCUCCUGCUACUGCUCCUUCCAUUCACACAAAGGUGGUGGCCUACGUGGAAAAUUGAAUAAGGUGGUGCUGGCUUACAGUGGUGGAUUAGACACAUCAGUCAUUGUUCCAUGGCUCAGGUGAACCAUCAAAUUCCAAGGAUCCAGAAAAAUAUGUCCAUAGAUAUCUCCAUUUUCUUGAGAGGAUACUGGUCCUAGCAGCAUCA